RNAcentral lists this long non-coding RNA (801 nucleotides) under Gallus gallus (chicken). The record is from RNAcentral. Lineage: Eukaryota; Metazoa; Chordata; Aves; Galliformes; Phasianidae.
GGCUGAUUGUUCUGCUUCAGAAAGUCCCGAGAUUGUCUUCCGAGCCCCAAAGAGAGGCCUUCAGCCGGGCUCAUGGUGAGAUCACAAGGAUUCAUUUUAUUAAUGUAGACGUGGUUUAGUAUUUAAGUGCAAAACAGAGGGGUUCAUACAUUGAAAAAGUUGAAAACGUUCCCAGUAGCUUUCAAAGCAUUCAGAAAAUGAUUUCAACGUGGUAGGCUUGGGACAGAGGGUUACCAAGGAACAAAGGCUGUAUUCUGCUUUGUAAUUAUGUCCUAAAGCUCUCCAUCAAGGUACUCAGCACCAGCUUCCUUGUGCAUGGCAGCAGAGAUCCAUCUGCCCCACAAUAGCCUUUCUGGCAUCCAUCCAGCUGAGAGUACAUUAAAUGGCCCAUUGAGCACUCAACUACUACAGUAACUAAUGGACCCAAGGAGGUGGCAGUUCAUAAUAUCCACACUUUUUUCAGUGGAACAAGCUCAGCAUUAAUUUCCCUGUCAAUAUGAGUGGCCAGAAUCCCUGGAUCUCAAGGACUCACAGCUGGCUGAGAUUUAACCUGAACAAAUCUCUAUGAACAGCAGCCAUCCAGCUUUAGUAUCACAUCAGUGGGGAUGCAUUGUAAAGCUCAGCUGCACCUCCUAAUAAACAAGGAGUUGGAACACCCAAUAUGUCCCAUGUCCACGACCAACAGCUUCCAGACCAACAGCUUCCAGCCAGAAUUGCUUGGUGAUGUGAAUCUAAGAGCAAGUAGAUGUUGUUAAGAAAAGGAUUCAAGAUAAUUGGGGAAAGACUCAUGCUGUUCACAAA